RNAcentral lists this ribosomal RNA (497 nucleotides) under uncultured bacterium. RNAcentral's name for it is "partial 16S ribosomal RNA". It matches the Rfam family "Bacterial small subunit ribosomal RNA", at positions 28 to 507 of the family's 1533-position model. The record is from RNAcentral.
GAUGAACGCUGGCGGCGUGCCUAAUACAUGCAAGUCGAGCGAACGGACGAGAAGCUUGCUUCUCUGAUGUUAGCGGCGGACGGGUGAGUAACACGUGGAUAACCUACCUAUAAGACUGGGAUAACUUCGGGAAACCGGAUCUAAUACCGGAUAAUAUUUUGAACCGCAUGGUUCAAUAGUGAAAGACGGUCUUGCUGUCACUUAUAGAUGUAUCCGCGCUGCAUUAGCUAGUUGUUAAGGUAACGGCUUACCAAGGCAACGAUGCAUAGCCGACCUGAGAGGGUGAUCGGCCACACUGGAACUGAGACACGGACCAGACUCCUACGGGAGGCAGCAGUAGGGAAUCUUCCGCAAGGGGCGAAAGCCUGACGGAGCAACGCCGCGUGAGUGAUGAAGGUGUUCGGAUCGUAAAACUCGGUUAUUAGGGAAGAACAUAUGUGUAAGUAACUGUGCACAUCUUGACGGUACCUAAUCAGAAAGCCACGGCUAACUACGUG